UCCCUGCUGGCUCAGUUGGUGAAGAAUCUGCCUCCAGUACAGUAGAACCAGGUUCGAUCCCUGGGUUGGGAA
Molecule: transfer RNA, 72 nt
Filed under: Bos taurus (domestic cattle)
Lineage: Eukaryota; Metazoa; Chordata; Mammalia; Artiodactyla; Bovidae
Also listed under: 2 other names
Rfam family: tRNA
About the family: Transfer RNA (tRNA) molecules are approximately 80 nucleotides in length.
Source: Rfam by way of RNAcentral